CUCACGCCUUCGUUAGCCGAAUUCUUAUUGCCGCCCGAUUUUCGCCCAGCGCGCGCCAAGCCCGCUUGCGAUAACGCUAUCACUGCGUUGGCCCGGUCCCUUCGGCUUCGGAUUCCUCAGCCCCCAGCCCCCCGAAGCAGUCGGGAUCGGGCCUGUACGCAGAACCUCGAUCCCCCUCCUGGGCCGACGCAAGUUGGUCCUUUU
This is a non-coding RNA of Rhodopseudomonas palustris CGA009, 204 nucleotides long. Lineage: Bacteria; Pseudomonadati; Pseudomonadota; Alphaproteobacteria; Hyphomicrobiales; Nitrobacteraceae. The record is from Rfam.